GAAUCUUAGACAAUGGGGGAAACCCUGAUCUAGCCAUGCCGCGUGAGUGACGAAGGCCUUAGGGUCGUAAAGCUCUUUCAGCUGUGAAGAUAAUGACGGUAGCAGCAGAAGAAACCCCGGCUAACCCCGUGCCAGCAGCCGCGGUAAUACGGAGGGGGUUAGCGUUGUUCGGAAUUACUGGGCGUAAAGCGCGCGUAGGCGGACUAUUAAGUCAGAGGUGAAAUCCCAGGGCUCAACCCUGGAACUGCCUUUGAUACUGGUAGUCUUGAGUUCGAGAGAGGUGAGUGGAAUUCCGAGUGUAGAGGUGAAAUUCGUAGAUAUUCGGAGGAACACCAGUGGCGAAGGCGGCUCACUGGCUCGAUACUGACGCUGAGGUGCGAAAGCGUGGGGAGCAAACAGG
RNAcentral lists this ribosomal RNA (400 nucleotides) under uncultured bacterium. RNAcentral describes it as "bacterial SSU rRNA". It matches the Rfam family "Bacterial small subunit ribosomal RNA", at positions 359 to 776 of the family's 1533-position model. The record is from RNAcentral.